UGCAACACGAGGACUUCACAAGAAAAUGGGUGAAAUAUAAGGACUUCGCAGGAGGUAACCCAUGCUAGUACUACUCUCGCCCAAGCACCCUUACCUACGGAGUUCUGAUAGAAUCCGUUGCAUUAGUGCUGGUAUUAUCGCACCUGUUUCAUUCUGCACUGCAAAUACAUACACUUUUUCUCCUUCCCUCCCCCUCGCAUCAAUUGUUUCCUUGUGCGUUCACACUGCACCUCUCCUUCUCGUUCUGAUAUCGUUUAAAAUGCCCCUGCUUCUUGACUCACAUUUGCAUAUAAACUAGCGGACCAUAGUUCCAGUCGCGCGUAACGUCGAACGACCCAUCUGAAAAAAAUUGGUGCGAUACAAGGACCUCCUAAGAGGUCACCCAUCCGAGUACUACUCUCGCCAAAGCACAAUUAACUGAAGAGUACUAAUAGGAUCCAGUGCAUUAGUGCUGGUAUGAUGCCGCUUGUUUAAUUUUGCACUAUAAAAUACAUACACUCAUUCUCUUUUCUUCCUCAUCCCGUCAUUUGUUUCCUUGUGCGUGCGCACUGCACCUUCUGUACUCGUUCUAAUAUCAAGUAAAAUGCCACAGCGCCGUGACUCACAUUUGUAAAUAAACCUGCGGACCAUAAAUCAAGUCGCGCGUAACAUCGAAAGAAUCAUCUGCAAAAAGAUGGGUGCAACACGAGGACCACCCAAGAAAAUGGGUGAAAUAUAAGGACUUCGCAGGAGGUAACCCAUGCUAGUACUACUCUUGCCCAAGCACCCUUACCUACGGAGUUCUGAUAGAAUCCGUUGCAUUAGUGAUGGUAUGAUCGCACCUGUUUCAUUUCGUGCUGAAAAUACAAACACUCCUUCUCCUUCCCUCCCCCUCCCAUCAAUUGUUUCCUUGUGCGUUCACACUGCACCUAUCCUUCUCGUUCUAAUAUCGAUUAAAAUGCCCCUGCUUCUUGACUCACAUUUGCG
This 966-nucleotide long non-coding RNA is filed under the name Carica papaya (papaya). RNAcentral's name for it is "long non-coding RNA (CPAP_LNC015678)". Lineage: Eukaryota; Viridiplantae; Streptophyta; Magnoliopsida; Brassicales; Caricaceae. The record is from RNAcentral.